AUAGUUACCUGGACGGGGUCAACGGCUGAUCAUUAAGAGCUGUGGCCUAGGUUAGUGGUCCACAUUGCAUUUGAUGGAUGCGCUGGCUUACCAUCUCUCCAAGUGGGAGAGUGGAUGUCAUAAUUUGUGAUAGAGGGAGUACGCGUUUAAAUUUUAAAUUUAUCUUA
Molecule: non-coding RNA, 167 nt
Organism: Triticum aestivum (bread wheat)
Lineage: Eukaryota; Viridiplantae; Streptophyta; Magnoliopsida; Poales; Poaceae
Source: Rfam